Molecule: transfer RNA, 73 nt
Organism: Apaloderma vittatum (bar-tailed trogon)
Lineage: Eukaryota; Metazoa; Chordata; Aves; Trogoniformes; Trogonidae
Rfam family: tRNA
About the family: Transfer RNA (tRNA) molecules are approximately 80 nucleotides in length.
Source: Rfam
GGCCGCUUAGCUCAGUCAGUUAGAGCGUGGUGCUGAUAACACCAAGAUCGCGAGUUUGAUCCCCGUUCGGUCC